UGGGGAAUAUUGGGCAAUGGGCGCAAGCCUGACCCAGCAACGCCGCGUGAAGGAAGAAGGCUCUCGGGUUGUAAACUUCUUUUAAGAGGGACGAACACAAUGACGGUACCUCUUGAAUAAGCCACGGCUAACUACGUGCCAGCAGCCGCGGUAAUACGUAGGUGGCAAGCGUUAUCCGGAUUUACUGGGUGUAAAGGGCGUGUAGGCGGGAAGGCAAGUCAGAUGUGAAAACUAUGGGCUCAACCCAUAGCCUGCAUUUGAAACUGUUUUUCUUGAGUGAUGGAGAGGCAGGCGGAAUUCCGUGUGUAGCGGUGAAAUGCGUAGAUAUACGGAGGAACACCAGUGGCGAAGGCGGCCUGCUGGACAUUAACUGACGCUGAGGCGCGAAAGCGUGGGGAGCAAACAGG
This 407-nucleotide ribosomal RNA is filed under the name uncultured bacterium. RNAcentral describes it as "bacterial SSU rRNA". It matches the Rfam family "Bacterial small subunit ribosomal RNA", at positions 355 to 776 of the family's 1533-position model. The record is from RNAcentral.